UUUUUCCCUGUUCGUUUUCCAUUUGAACGUGUAGUUGAGUUUGCAUAUCUUGUGAAUCGGGUUUUUAGGGUUUGUGGAGAAUCGGAGAGGUUCUAUUUGUCUGUCUAUUUCUCAUCAGUGGAUGUUAUUUAUAAGACUUAUGAAGUGGGUUUUAAGGGUUUGGAAAGGGUGGGAGAGGUUGGGGUACUUUCCGAAUAUUCUGGUGAUUUAUGGAAGCAUUGGUUUGGUUUUGUUUUGUUUUUCUUUCGCUCUUCACAUUGUUGCUUUAACGGUUUCCGUUUCGUUUGUGUAUUGCAUCUGAUGCAUUAAUCACCUUGGAAGGAAUUGGAGAGGUGGGAAUUGAAAUUGUUGUUCAGGCUUAGGACAUGAAUUCAUAUAGAAGUUCUGGUUUGGUUUUGUGUUCUUUUUAGUUUUGCUUGUGCUUUUCAAAUUGUUGCUUUUAUGUUCCUCUUGUUUCUGUAUUGGGUGUGAUCUGCUUGGUAAGCGGAGGUAAGUUGAUGCUAGUUGAGUGAGCAGAGAGUGAUUAUCUUGGAAGCCUUUUGGAAUAUGUGCUUUUGAAGGUGUAUGUAGAUGUGGACUGCAAGAAUAUCGUUAUCUUCUCCUUCUCACUCACAUGUGCAUGUUUAAGUGGGCUGACGCUGAUGGAAAGGAAAUGUAUAAGUUGAUUGAUUGAAUUGAAUAUCUAUCUGAAAGCUAACAUAUUGAUGUUCAGUACUUUGUCCACUCAAUCAUUAGUAUUUUGUCGCAAUGGGAUAACCUUCGGUCCUCCACUGCUGUUCCAAACUCUAUUUUACAUCAAUAGUGAAAGCUGAAGAUGUUUGAAUUUAUUUUGACGGACAGUGUAUGGUAGUGAGUCUGAACAGGUGAUGCUUGUAUGUAUUGAGCUCGCCACUGUAGGAGGAUAUCUGGGAUGAAGUUUAAACUGUAUCAUGGACCUUGGUUGCUGUUAUUAAUAUCCUAUAUCCCGAUUUUAUCCUUUGUGGGUGUGUUGGAUGGGGAAGGAAGUCCGAUGAAUCUCUAUUUUCUUUGAGUCUCAGAUAAUAUUGUGUAUCUGAAGUAAGCAAUUGUUAAUUUGAAGCUUUAUUCAUUGAUUCAAGUUAACCAGGUCAGCGGAUGCGCUUGGCUAUAGUUUUAGGCAUGCUUGGAAUCUCUAGGUUGGGGUAGAGGACUUCCAAUGUGAAUGCUGAACAUAGUGAGUUAAUGAUUGAUGAGUGGGGAAUGAUGCCAGGUAUAGUGCUUUAUAUGUCUUGGCCUCAAAGAGGUCCAGUAGUAGAAACUGAACUGUAGUCUGUAGGAUAAGCCUGUGACUCUGUGAGGAAAAA
Long non-coding RNA from Rhododendron vialii, 1322 nucleotides. RefSeq lists it as uncharacterized. NCBI's taxonomy places the organism in Eukaryota, Viridiplantae, Streptophyta, Magnoliopsida, Ericales, Ericaceae. The record is from RefSeq and is a predicted model, not a curated record. The transcript has 2 exons.